GCGCGUGUAGCUCAGUUGGUUAGAGCGCUACUCUGAUAAAGUAGAGGUCCCCAGUUCGAAUCUAGGCACGCGCA
RNAcentral lists this transfer RNA (74 nucleotides) under Patescibacteria group bacterium. RNAcentral describes it as "tRNA-Ile". It matches the Rfam family "tRNA". Rfam says of the family: Transfer RNA (tRNA) molecules are approximately 80 nucleotides in length. Their secondary structure includes four short double-helical elements and three loops (D, anti-codon, and T loops). Further hydrogen bonds mediate the characteristic L-shaped molecular structure. tRNAs have two regions of fundamental functional importance: the anti-codon, which is responsible for specific mRNA codon recognition, and the 3' end, to which the tRNAs corresponding amino acid is attached (by aminoacyl-tRNA synthetases). tRNAs cope with the degeneracy of the genetic code in two manners: having more than one tRNA (with a specific anti-codon) for a particular amino acid; and 'wobble' base-pairing, i.e. permitting non-standard base-pairing at the 3rd anti-codon position. The record is from RNAcentral.